This 465-nucleotide ribosomal RNA is filed under the name uncultured bacterium. RNAcentral's name for it is "partial 16S ribosomal RNA". It matches the Rfam family "Bacterial small subunit ribosomal RNA", at positions 28 to 507 of the family's 1533-position model. The record is from RNAcentral.
GACGAACGCUGGCGGCGUGCUUAACACAUGCAAGUCGAACGGAAAGGCCCCUUUGGGGGUACUCGAGUGGCGAACGGGUGAGUAACACGUGAGUAACCUGCCCUUGACUUCGGGAUAACUUCAGGAAACUGGGGCUAAUACCGGAUAGGAAUCCUUGCUGCAUGGUGGGGGUUGGAAAGCUUCGGCGGUUUUGGGUGGGCUCUCGGCUUAUCAGCUUGUUGGUGGGGUAGUGGCUUACCAAGGCUUUGACGGGUAGCCGGCCUGAGAGGGCGACCGGCCACAUUGGGACUGAGAGACGGCACAGACACCGACGGGAGGCAGCAGUGGGGAAGAUUGCACGAUGGGCGGAAGCCGGAUGCAGCAACGCCGCGUGCGGGAUGACGGCCUUCGGGUUGUAAACCGCUUUCAGCAGGGGCGAAGCUUGUGGUGACGGUACCUGCAGAAGAAGCACCGGCUAACUACGUG